GGGUCUCUCUAGGUAGACCAGGUCCAAGCCCGGGAGCUCCUGGCUAUCUAGGAAACCCAC
This 60-nucleotide microRNA precursor is filed under the name Human immunodeficiency virus 1. RNAcentral's name for it is "Trans-activation response element (TAR)". It matches the Rfam family "Trans-activation response element (TAR)". Rfam says of the family: The TAR hairpin acts as a binding site for the Tat protein and this interaction stimulates the activity of the long terminal repeat promoter. Further experiments have shown that TAR acts as a miRNA that protects against apoptosis. Lineage: Riboviria; Pararnavirae; Artverviricota; Revtraviricetes; Ortervirales; Retroviridae. The record is from Rfam by way of RNAcentral.